Molecule: long non-coding RNA, 3106 nt
Filed under: Amphibalanus amphitrite
Lineage: Eukaryota; Metazoa; Arthropoda; Thecostraca; Balanomorpha; Balanidae
Description: uncharacterized LOC122387037
Source: RNAcentral
ACUGUCAUGAUCUCACGGCCGGCAGCCUGGAGCCCCUCACCAGGUGCCCUGAGCUGCAGUAUCUCACCCUGUCCGGCGGCGUCCCUGACACCGUGAGCCUGGAGACCCUCACCAGGUGCCCUAGGCUGUAUAUUCUCACCCUGUCCGGCGGCGUCCCUGACGCCGUGCUGGACAUUCUCAGCGGCUGCCCCGGGCUGUUGAGCCUUACACUGGGGGACCGCCAGCGGCCGGCAGAGACGGCCUUCACAGCAGCAGCGUACACCAGACUGGUGAAGUCGUGUCGGAAGCUGAUUGGGCUGUACCUUCACUGCACGGCAGACACCGGCCGGGCCGUGCUGACCGCCCUGAAGGAGGCGGACCUGGGCCGGCGCAGUGAUGGCCGGCCCCGUACCAUCCAUCUCGGUGUCCCCGGGGAGCUGUUCCGUCAGCUGAAGAGCCAGGAAGGCGAUGGGGUCACAGUGUGGAAGUGGUGGGAUUGAUGCGCUGCACUACCGACCGUGCAGUGAUGAGCGGACUGCAGAGAGGCCGAGCCAGUCGGCCGGGGCCGCCAGCUGACUGCUGCCGUGUGUGCUGCACCAGCCGGCACUGAGAGCGGCGCCGGUCAGCCGGCACACGGCCCCCGUGUCCGCUGUAGUGUAGUCAUGUAGUUGUAGUGGUUGUAGUGUAGAUGUAGUAGUAGCACACGGAUGUGAUGUACUGGGUAAUUACCCGGCGGGUAUUGUGGGUAAUUGGACAGUGAAAAGUGAUGUGAUUGAGUGUAGAAACUGAUCACGACAUUGCGAUAUUUUGUAUAUAGAACCCACAUCUUAGCUUAGCUGUAUAAAUGGGGGCACUCCCGGACCGUCCAACUCGGUUCUCCGCGCCUGGUCCCGGCGGCACGGCCUCAGUCACGUGACCGCCGUGCCGGGUCGGCCGGCUCGGUCACGUGACCGCCGUGCCGGCUCGGCCGGCUCGGUCACGUGACCGCCGUGCCGGCUCGGCUCGGCGGACAGUCGGACGGGGACGCUGUCUCACCGGCACCGAGGUGCACAGUAGUGAUGUCAAUUACAGAAAAUCAGAAUACCGAUACCUAACCAAAUACCAACCGAAAAUCCCGGGAAAAUACCGAAACCAAACCAACUUGGGAAAAUGAGGGAAAUACCAACUUUUUACUGAUUUAUUAGCCUCUUAUACAUUAGCGAGGGUUUAUGAUACCGUAAAGUGGGGCUAUUUGAGACAGUAAAGUAGUGGUUUAGUAAAAUCGCUGUAAAAUGAAAACCGUUCGAUAUUUUUUCGUCAUUUUUGCUUAGGCUGAUGUGGAAUUGAACAGUGAAUGACCUGAAUAACCUUUUUGAAAAAUUUCGAAAAGUUUUGAAAGAAAUUUGGUCUAAAAUACGAAAUACAGAAAAACGCACAAUUUAAGUUGCUCGAAAAGGACCCCCACCUGCCGCUUAACAUAGUUCAAAUUUUAACAGCUUCGGCACUGCAUCUAUCGUUACUACCGUUUUACUUAUAGGCUAAGCAUAUUUUUCAUGAAAAUAUUAUACAUUGUUAACGUUACUGCCGAUUGCGUAACCCAUUGUCUCAGAAUCCCGAUGAUGCCCACCUGGUCAAACCUCAACCGAUAUGCCAAAUAGCUACUGAUAAUGGUGAUGCGAUUGCACCCGAGAAGACUUACCACCAUCUACUUGAAGUGCAUCGAACGUUCGACAUGAGUAACACCGAUGGAUUGGUCGUGGUCAUAAACAUGCAGUGGGUUCAUGGUAUUUAGCAGGAAGCAAUAUUUACAUGUUCGUAGUGUAACAUAAUGACCCUUUAGCUGGUGACCAAACUAGUUAUUCUGAUGAAUAUGUGCUUAAAAUGUGCUUCAUCAGUCACUUACUUAGUCGACAAUAACACAUGUCUACCUUGGUUGACCAAAAAACACCAUUGAAGAUUACUUAACACAUGAACGUACUGUUAGGUGAGCCUAUGCAAGUAGGCGAUGUGGUAGGGUUACCGGCCAAUUGAUACAGCAUGCAGCGAUCGAGGAAAAUCGUCAUAAAAUCAAAACCGCUUAACAUUUUUAUGUUAUUUCUUCGCAUGAAGAUGUGCAAUGGAACAAGGAAUCAUGCAGACUAUUCACUUAAAUGUUUUGGGAAACCUUUUAGCUCGUUUGAUUCAUUACGGUGUGCUUCAUUAGGUAGCGAGCCUGUCUCAAAUAGCCCCACCGACUUUCAGUAUGUCUGUUUUCACGCCACCAGGGCUAUAUACAAAAACUUUCUUUCAAAAUUUUACUGUUGUUGUCUUUAGAAUAGUCCUUGAUGAUCAUUCUGCAAAUUGGAAAGUUUAGGGUCACAUCAUAUUAUGACAGCCUUAGCAUAUAGUGAUGCAAUUUUAUAACCUACCGAAAUGAAGCAUCCUACGAAAAAGGAAAAGAUUGAAUAUAAAGGAAAUGUAACUGUCUUUGCAAAAACAAUUUUUGCUAGAAUGAUCAAAAUUUAAUUUCCAAUCACAUGGCAUUUAAAAAAUUAUCUCUAGUGUGACCGAUUUUCUUCAAUUUCUUCGUAACUAAAACUGUCUCAAAUAGCCCCACCCUAUGGGGCUAUUUGAGACAGGAUCUAACUAAAAAAAUAUCCUUAACCAUUAUUACUAGCUGAACCAAAAUGCACCUAUAUGAAAGAGCUUACGGAGAACUACAUUUUUGCAAUUUACAUGCUAUAAGAAAUAUGAACCGUCUUAAAGGGAGAGGCCAAAAACUGUAAAAUCCGUUUCAAAUAGCCCCACUUUACGGUACCAACAAAAUACCAAACACAUUAGGAUUGAAAUACCAAGUACCAAGUUGGUAUCGGUUUGGUAUCGGUAUACCAAACGUUGGUAUCCGAUUGACAUCUCUAGUGCACAGCGCGCCAUGUUGAGUGCUCUGGAUGCGUGUUGUGACACUCACACGGACAGGUAUAUAUCAAUACACUACUGGAUAGGCCGUCCGAGCUGUAUAGGCGGUGUCAGCUGAGACGGCGGCUCACAGCCGCGCCCGCCCGCCCGCUCCGGCAAGUGGGUGUCUGUUCUACUCUCUGUCUUCUAUACAUACACGAGAGGAGUUGCUUGAGCUGUAUCAUAUAUGUAGCCUUCAAUAAACCAAUGAGCA